Molecule: ribosomal RNA, 216 nt
Filed under: Glomeromycotina sp.
Lineage: Eukaryota; Fungi; Glomeromycota
Description: partial small subunit ribosomal RNA
Rfam family: Eukaryotic small subunit ribosomal RNA (bases 44-216)
Source: RNAcentral
GGGUCAGUAGGUUGGUCGUGCCACCGGUACGUACUGGUCUCACUGAUUCCUCCUUCCUGAAGAACCGUAAUGCCAUUAAUUUGGUGUUGCGGGGAAACAGGACUGUCACUUUGAAAAAAUUAGAGUGUUUAAAGCAAGCUAACGCUUGAAUACAUUAGCACGGAAUAAUGAAAUAGGACGAUCGAUCCUAUUUUGUUGGUUUCUAGGAUUGACGUA